RNAcentral lists this long non-coding RNA (290 nucleotides) under Manihot esculenta (cassava). RNAcentral describes it as "long non-coding RNA (MESC_LNC010242)". The record is from RNAcentral. Lineage: Eukaryota; Viridiplantae; Streptophyta; Magnoliopsida; Malpighiales; Euphorbiaceae.
UGGGCUUUUCUAGAUAGUUCCAGAGAGCUAAAGAUGAUAGAGUUUGAACAGCUGAGGCAGACAGAGGAUAUGAGUGUCGAUGAGUACACUGACAGGUUCUUGGAGUUGCUGCAGUAUGUGGGUCAGGCUUAUGACACAGAUCAGAAAAAAGCUAGGAGAUAUACCAUGAGGCUUCAUCCUAGGUAUUCCUCCUUGAUCCUAGCAGCAGAGAGGGAGAGUUUCCACACAGUAGUGGAUAUAGCACGAAAGAUGGAGGCUAGUGCCAUAUACAGGGGACAGUUAAACAGCAG